GGACUGGAAGCUCAACGGCCGAGCAGCGCCCUGUUAAGGCGCACGAUGCGGGUUCGAAUCCCGCCCAGUUCGCCA
RNAcentral lists this transfer RNA (75 nucleotides) under Acidobacteriota bacterium. RNAcentral's name for it is "Acidobacteria bacterium (groundwater metagenome) tRNA-Asn". It matches the Rfam family "tRNA". From Rfam's summary of the family: Transfer RNA (tRNA) molecules are approximately 80 nucleotides in length. The record is from RNAcentral. Lineage: Bacteria; Pseudomonadati; Acidobacteriota.